This 496-nucleotide ribosomal RNA is filed under the name uncultured bacterium. RNAcentral's name for it is "partial 16S ribosomal RNA". It matches the Rfam family "Bacterial small subunit ribosomal RNA", at positions 28 to 507 of the family's 1533-position model. The record is from RNAcentral.
GAUGAACGCUGGCGGCGUGCCUAAUACAUGCAAGUCGAGCGAACAGACGAGGAGCUUGCUCCUCUGACGUUAGCGGCGGACGGGUGAGUAACACGUGGAUAACCUACCUAUAAGACUGGGAUAACUUCGGGAAACCGGAGCUAAUACCGGAUAAUAUAUUGAACCGCAUGGUUCAAUAGUGAAAGACGGUUUUGCUGUCACUUAUAGAUGGAUCCGCGCCGCAUUAGCUAGUUGGUAAGUUAACGGCUUACCAAGGCAACGAUGGUUAGCCGACCUGGGAGGGGAUUCGCCACCACGGAACCGGAGCACCGUCCCAAACCCCAAGGGAGGCAGCAAGUGGGAAACCUCCGCAAAUGGCGAAAACCCGACCGAACCAAGCCCCGUGAAUGAUUGAGGGUUUCGGAUCCUAAAACCUUUGUAAUUGGGAAAAACAAAUUUUGAAGGUACUAAGCACGUCUUUACCGUAACUAAUCCGAAAGGCACGGCUAACUUCGUG